This 252-nucleotide ribosomal RNA is filed under the name uncultured bacterium. RNAcentral describes it as "partial 16S ribosomal RNA". It matches the Rfam family "Bacterial small subunit ribosomal RNA", at positions 524 to 775 of the family's 1533-position model. The record is from RNAcentral.
UACAGAGGGUGCAAACGUUGUUCGGAUUUACUGGGCGUAAAGCGCGUGUAGGCGGCCGGCCAAGUCGGAUGUGAAAGCCCGGGGCUCAACCUCGGAAGUGCAUUCGAUACUGGUCGGCUGGAGUCUCGGAGAGGCGGGUGGAACUCUCGGUGUAGAGGUGAAAUUCGUAGAUAUCGAGAAGAACACCGGUGGCGAAGGCGGCCCGCUGGACGAAGACUGACGCUGAGACGCGAAAGCGUGGGGAGCAAACAG